This 336-nucleotide unclassified non-coding RNA is filed under the name soil metagenome. Its description in RNAcentral is "partial contains 5.8S ribosomal RNA, internal transcribed spacer 2, and large subunit ribosomal RNA". The stretch from base 1 to 120 matches the Rfam family "5.8S ribosomal RNA", at positions 35 to 154 of the family's 154-position model. The record is from RNAcentral.
GAUGAAGAACGUAGUGAAAUGCGAUAGGUAAUGUGAAUUGCAGAAUUCAGUGAAUCAUCGAAUCUUUGAACGCACAUUGCGCCCGCCAGUAUUCUGGCGGGCAUGCCUGUUCGAGCGUCAUUUCAACCAUCAAGCCCCCGGCUUGUGUUGGGGACCUGCGGCUGCCGCAGGCCCUGAAAAGCAGUGGCGGGCUCGCUGUCACACCGAGCGUAGUAGCAUACAUCUCGCUCUGGGCGUGCUGCGGGUUCCGGCCGUUAAACCACCUUCAUAACCCAAGGUUGACCUCGGAUCAGGUAGGAAGACCCGCUGAACUUAAGCAUAUCAAUAAGCGGAGGA